This 460-nucleotide ribosomal RNA is filed under the name uncultured bacterium. RNAcentral describes it as "partial 16S ribosomal RNA". It matches the Rfam family "Bacterial small subunit ribosomal RNA", at positions 338 to 795 of the family's 1533-position model. The record is from RNAcentral.
CCUACGGGUGGCAGCAGUGAGGAAUAUUGGUCAAUGGGCGUAAGCCUGAACCAGCCAAGUCGCGUGAGGGAUGAAGGUUCUAUGGAUCGUAAACCUCUUUUAUAAGGGAAUAAAGUGUGGGACGUGUCCUGUUUUGUAUGUACCUUAUGAAUAAGGAUCGGCUAACUCCGUGCCAGCAGCCGCGGUAAUACGGAGGAUCCGAGCGUUAUCCGGAUUUAUUGGGUUUAAAGGGUGCGUAGGCGGCCUUUUAAGUCAGCGGUGAAAGUCUGUGGCUCAACCAUAGAAUUGCCGUUGAAACUGGGUGCCUUGAGUGGGCGAGAAGUACGCGGAAUGCGUGGUGUAGCGGUGAAAUGCAUAGAUAUCACGCAGAACUCCGAUUGCGAAGGCAGCGUACCGGCGCCCAACUGACGCUGAAGCACGAAGGCGUGGGUAUCGAACAGGAUUAGAUACCCGGGUAGUC